Molecule: ribosomal RNA, 484 nt
Filed under: uncultured bacterium
Lineage: Bacteria
Description: partial 16S ribosomal RNA
Rfam family: Bacterial small subunit ribosomal RNA
Source: RNAcentral
AUUGAACGCUGGCGGCAGGCCUAACACAUGCAAGUCGAGCGGAUGAAGGGAGCUUUCUCCUGGAUUCAGCGGCGGACGGGUGAGUAAUGCCUAGGAAUCUGCCUGGUAUUGGGGGAUAACGUCCGGAAACGGGCGCUAAUACCGCAUACGUCCUGAGGGAGAAAGUGGGGGAUCUUCGGACCUCACGCUAUCAGAUGAGCCUAGGUCGGAUUAGCUAGUUGGUUGGGUAAAGGCCUACCAAGGCGACGAUCCGUAACUGGUCUGAGAGGAUGAUCAGUCACACUGGAACUGAGACACGGUCCAGACUCCUACGGGAGGCAGCAGUGGGGAAUAUUGGACAAUGGGCGAAAGCCUGAUCCAGCAAUGCCGCGUGUGUGAAGAAGGUCUUCGGAUUGUAAAGCACUUUAAGUUGGGAGGAAGGGCAGUAAGUUAAUACCUUGCUGUUUUGACGUUACCAACAGAAUAAGCACCGGCUAACUUCGUG